GGAUCAUGCAUGAAUAUCGCCUUGCCAAUGUCGAUAGAUCUGCUGGCAAGAAAAACAACCUCAGGCUUGAUGACUGGGUAUUAUGCCGAAUAUACAACAAGAAAGGAAGCAUAGAGAAGCACGAUCCUGUUCCUGUGGAUAGAAAAUUGACAAAAUAUCCAGAAAUUGAGGACAAAAAACCCAACGUUUUGAUGUCUGGGUAUAAUGGAAUAGCACCAACAAAGUUGGCAUCAUCGUUUGCGAACUAUAAUGACUUAUCAGUACAUAUGGAUACAUCUGAUUCCAUACCCAGGUUGCAUACGGACUCAAGUAGCUCAGAGCAUAUGCAUUCACCUGAUGUCACGUGUGAGAAGGAGGUCCAGAGUGAACCCAAAUGGAAUGAGUUAGACAUUAAUGGCUUCGAUUUUGGUUUCAAUUACGUGGAUGGGUUUCAAGAUGAUCCUUUUGCUUCCCAAAUUCAGUUACAAAUGGACCAGCUCUCACCCCUGCAAGAUAUGUUUAUGUAUUUACAUAAGCCAUUUUGAUGAUCAAGGCAUCACUCCAUCAACCCAA
RNAcentral lists this unclassified non-coding RNA (552 nucleotides) under Hevea brasiliensis (rubber tree). Lineage: Eukaryota; Viridiplantae; Streptophyta; Magnoliopsida; Malpighiales; Euphorbiaceae. The record is from RNAcentral.